GAUGAACGCUGGCGGCGUGCCUAAUACAUGCAAGUCGAGCGAACGGACGAGAAGCUUGCUCCUCUGACGUUAGCGGCGGACGGGUGAGUAACACGUGGAUAACCUACCUAUAAGACUGGGAUAACUUCGGGAAACCGUAGCUAAUACCGGAUAAUAUUUUGAACCGCAUGGUUCAAUAGUGAAAGACGGUUUUGCUGUCACUUAUAGAUGGAUCCGCGCUGCAUUAGCUAGUUGGUAAGGUAACGGCUUACCAAGGCAACGAUGCAUAGCCGACCUGAGAGGGUGAUCGGCCACACUGGAACUGAGACACGGUCCAGACUCCUACGGGAGGCAGCAGUAGGGAAUCUUCCGCAAAGGGCGAAAGCCUGACGGAGCAACGCCGCGUGAGUGAUGAAGGUCUUCGGAUCGUAAAACUCUGUUAUUAGGGAAGAACAUAUGUGUAAGUAACUGUGCACAUCUUGACGGUACCUAAUCAGAAAGCCACGGCUAACUACGUG
Molecule: ribosomal RNA, 497 nt
Filed under: uncultured bacterium
Lineage: Bacteria
Description: partial 16S ribosomal RNA
Rfam family: Bacterial small subunit ribosomal RNA
Source: RNAcentral